Regulatory RNA element from Brochothrix campestris FSL F6-1037, 109 nucleotides. It matches the Rfam family "PyrR binding site". From Rfam's summary of the family: This family represents the PyrR binding site and terminator structure. The record is from Rfam. NCBI's taxonomy places the organism in Bacteria, Bacillati, Bacillota, Bacilli, Caryophanales, Listeriaceae.
AACUCUUUUAAUUUAGUCCAGAGAGGCUAAGAAGGAGUUCUCCAGCAAGGAACAUCUGUACCUUAUGCUGCUGUGAACUCUUAUGACCUCUCAUAAGAGUUAUUUUUUU